CGUCUAGGCGGACCGGUAAGUCGGGUAUGAAAGCCCUGGGCUCAACUCAGGAAUUGUGCCCGAUACUCCCGGUUUUGAGUGCAGAAGGGGAGAGUGGAACUCCUGGUGUAGCGGUGAAAUGCGUUGAUACCAGGAUGAACGCCGGUGGCGAAAGCGGCUCUCUAGUCUGUUACUGACGCUGAAGCGCGAAAGCUAGGGGAGCGAACG
RNAcentral lists this ribosomal RNA (207 nucleotides) under uncultured bacterium. RNAcentral's name for it is "partial 16S ribosomal RNA". It matches the Rfam family "Bacterial small subunit ribosomal RNA", at positions 568 to 774 of the family's 1533-position model. The record is from RNAcentral.